This is a non-coding RNA of Aegilops tauschii subsp. strangulata, 129 nucleotides long. The record is from RefSeq and is a predicted model, not a curated record. NCBI's taxonomy places the organism in Eukaryota, Viridiplantae, Streptophyta, Magnoliopsida, Poales, Poaceae.
CACCUCUUAAUCUUCCACCUCUUGCUAUUCAUGUUUAUCUGGAGUGCUGAAUGUAUCCCAGAGGAUUCAUGUUUCUAUUCUUAAUCCUUUCUAGCUAUUUCGAGGUCUUACCUUAUUCAAGCCAUUUAA